Long non-coding RNA from Silurus meridionalis, 362 nucleotides. RefSeq lists it as uncharacterized. Lineage: Eukaryota; Metazoa; Chordata; Actinopteri; Siluriformes; Siluridae. The record is from RefSeq and is a predicted model, not a curated record. The transcript has 3 exons.
GAGCAGAAGGUAGAGGAGCAGAAGGUGGAGGAUCAAAAAGAACAGACUGAAGUCCUUUGAACUUUUGGAGACUUUAGAGAAUGUCAUGAUGGAGAACGGACGCUCAAAAGGCUUCGGGUGUGUGACGUUUUCAUCUCCUGAUGAGGCUCGAGUAGACAUCAUGGAGAUGAACGGCAGGGUGCUGGGCAGCAGGACUGUGUACUUAAGUCCCUCUCAGGCCCUCUCAGAAUGUAGAAACCAUCUCACCUUCAAAACCCUGCCCAGACCCAAGACCCAACGCCAACAAGAACAUCCAUCCACAGAAUGUUCCAGUUGCAGAUCCUGGAAAAGAAAACCAGCAGCAGUGGAACAGGCGAUUCACA